GCCAGGUGGAGUGGCACACACCUGUAAUCCCAGCCACUGGGAGGCUGAGUCAGGAGGAUGACAAGUUCAAAGUUAUUCUCUCAGCAACUUAAGAGAGGCACUUAGCAACUUAGUGAGACACUGUUUCAA
This 129-nucleotide small RNA is filed under the name Marmota monax (woodchuck). The record is from RNAcentral. Lineage: Eukaryota; Metazoa; Chordata; Mammalia; Rodentia; Sciuridae.